Molecule: ribosomal RNA, 440 nt
Filed under: uncultured bacterium
Lineage: Bacteria
Description: partial 16S ribosomal RNA
Rfam family: Bacterial small subunit ribosomal RNA
Source: RNAcentral
CCUACGGGAGGCAGCAGUAGGGAAUAUUGCUCAAUGGGGGAAACCCUGAAGCAGCAACGCCGCGUGGAGGAUGAAGGUUCUCGGAUUGUUAACCCCUUUUGUUAGAGAAGAUAAUGACGGUAUCUAACGAAUAAGCACCGGCUAACUCCGUGCCAGCAGCCGCGGUAAUACGGAGGGAGCAAGCGUUACUCGGAAUCACGGGGCGCAAAGAGCGCGUAGGCGGGAUCGCAAGUGUGAUGUGAAAUCCUAGGGCUGAACCAUAGAACUGCAUUUGAAACUGUUAGUCUGGAGUAUGGGAGAGGUAGGUGGAAUUCUUGGUGUAGCGGUGAAAUCCGUAGAGAUCAAGAGGAAUACUCAUUGCGAAGGCGACCUGCUAGAACAUAACUGACGCUGAUGCGCGAAAGCGUGGGGAGCAAACAGGAUUAGAUACCCCAGUAGUC